RNAcentral lists this ribosomal RNA (467 nucleotides) under uncultured bacterium. Its description in RNAcentral is "bacterial SSU rRNA". It matches the Rfam family "Bacterial small subunit ribosomal RNA", at positions 339 to 797 of the family's 1533-position model. The record is from RNAcentral.
GUACGGAAGGCAGCAGUGGGGAAUCUUGCGCAAUGGGGGCAACCCUGACGCAGCAACGCCGCGUGAGUGAUGAAGGCCUUCGGGUCGUAAAGCUCUGUCAGAUGGGACGAAAAUUCUGGCGGUAAAUAAUCGCCGGGAUUGACGGUACUGUCAGAGGAAGCACCGGCUAACUCCGUGCCAGCAGCCGCGGUAAUACGGAGGGUGCAAGCGUUGUUCGGAAUCAUUGGGCGUAAAGCGCGUGUAGGCGGUCGGGCAAGUCAGAUGUGAAAGCCCUUGGCUUAACCAAGGAAGUGCAUUUGAAACUGCCCGGCUUGAGUACGGGAGGGGGAAGUGGAAUUCCCGGUGUAGAGGUGAAAUUCGUAGAUAUCGGGAGGAACACCGGUGGCGAAGGCGGCUUCCUGGACCGAUACUGACGCUGAGACGCGAAAGCGUGGGGAGCAAACAGGAUUAGAUACCCCUGUAGUCCG